GCAACAGCUCAGAUUUGGAAUCUGGCCUUCGGGUCCGAGUUGUAAUCUGGAGAGGAUGCUUCUGGCGCGGUGCCUUCCGAGUUCCCUGGAACGGGACGCCGGAGAGGGUGAGAGCCCCGUACGGUUGGACAGGUAGCCUUUGUGAAGCUCCUUCGACGAGUCGAGUAGUUUGGGAAUGCUGCUCAAAAUGGGAGGUAAAUUUCUUCUAAAGCUAAAUAUUGGCCAGAGACCGAUAGCGCACAA
Molecule: ribosomal RNA, 243 nt
Filed under: Leptographium sp. WIN(M)131
Lineage: Eukaryota; Fungi; Ascomycota; Sordariomycetes; Ophiostomatales; Ophiostomataceae
Description: partial large subunit ribosomal RNA
Rfam family: Eukaryotic large subunit ribosomal RNA
Source: RNAcentral